GAUGAAGAACGUAGCAAAUUGCGAUAAGUAUUGUGAAUUGCAUUAUUAGUGAAUCAUCGAAUCUUUGAACGCAUCUUGCGCUCUGGGGCUAUUCCCCAGAGCAUGACUGUUUGAGGGUUGUGUAUAUCAUCAUCCCCCUCCGAGUGGAAACACUAUGGAGUGAUUUUUGGGUAUGGAUAUUGGCUUGUUGUAGGAAUCUUUGAUUUCUACUAAGCUGAAAAACAUCAGUGGCUGAUUUCCAAUUUCUGGUAGCACGUAGUAAUGGCGUUAUAGUUUAUAUUCGCUGAUACUUUAUGUACAACCAUAAGAUUUUGGAGCUAUAAAGGCCUCUUCGAAGUAACACACACUUUUAACUCUUCAACCUCAAAUCAGUUAGGACUACCCGCUGAACUUAAGCAUAUCAAUAAGCGGAGGA
RNAcentral lists this unclassified non-coding RNA (415 nucleotides) under soil metagenome. RNAcentral's name for it is "partial contains internal transcribed spacer 2 and large subunit ribosomal RNA". The stretch from base 1 to 120 matches the Rfam family "5.8S ribosomal RNA", at positions 35 to 154 of the family's 154-position model. The record is from RNAcentral.